UAACAAGCAUACAUCCCAGGA
This 21-nucleotide unclassified non-coding RNA is filed under the name Mus musculus (house mouse). RNAcentral's name for it is "oocyte_clustered_small_RNA8763". The record is from RNAcentral. Lineage: Eukaryota; Metazoa; Chordata; Mammalia; Rodentia; Muridae.